AGAUUCCUGGCCACUUCAAUGGCUGAUUAUAUGUUAUAUUAUAUCCAGACGUGGCUGACGCCGCUGCUGGUUCUGACUGUGAGUCUGUGCUUGCUGAAGUACUGCUGCAAAAUCUGCAGUAAAUUCUCAGACGCUGACUCCGAUCUGGACCUGUCAACCAGCGACCAUGUCUAUGUGAUUCCCAACCCCAUUCACACGAGAGAAGAGAGAGACGAACAAGAUGAGAUCAGCUCUCACGAUGAUUCCGAGUUCACACCACCACCAUAUGAACUAGUGUGUCCACCACCGUCAUAUGAGUCCAGCUUUAAAUUAGAUAUUUCUGACGUUCGAGUGACUCCAGGCUCAGAGAUGGACUCUUCCAGCAUGCCACCGCCACCGUACUGCCCACCUUUGCCCACCGCAUCCAGUCAUCAACAAUAG
This 420-nucleotide long non-coding RNA is filed under the name Carassius auratus (goldfish). RNAcentral's name for it is "lncRNA (ENSCARG00000015541.1)". The record is from RNAcentral. Lineage: Eukaryota; Metazoa; Chordata; Actinopteri; Cypriniformes; Cyprinidae.